ACUCCUGGGGAGGCAGCAGUGGGGAAUUUGGACAAUGGGCGAAAGCCUGAUCCAGCAAUGCCGCGUGAGUGAAGAAGGCCUUCGGGUUGUAAAGCUCUUUUGUCAGGGAAGAAACGGUGAAAGCUAAUAUCUUUUGCUAAUGACGGUACCUGAAGAAUAAGCACCGGCUAACUACGUGCCAGCAGCCGCGGUAAUACGUAGGGUGCAAGCGUUAAUCGGAAUUACUGGGCGUAAAGCGUGCGCAGGCGGUUUUGUAAGUCUGAUGUGAAAUCCCCGGGCUCAACCUGGGAAUUGCAUUGGAGACUGCAAGGCUAGAAUCUGGCAGAGGGGGGUAGAAUUCCACGUGUAGCAGUGAAAUGCGUAGAUAUGUGGAGGAACACCGAUGGCGAAGGCAGCCCCCUGGGUCAAGAUUGACGCUCAUGCACGAAAGCGUGGGGAGCAAACAGGAUUAGAUACCCUGGUAGUCCC
Molecule: ribosomal RNA, 468 nt
Filed under: uncultured organism
Description: partial 16S ribosomal RNA
Rfam family: Bacterial small subunit ribosomal RNA
Source: RNAcentral